Molecule: unclassified non-coding RNA, 17722 nt
Filed under: Leishmania donovani
Lineage: Eukaryota; Euglenozoa; Kinetoplastea; Trypanosomatida; Trypanosomatidae
Description: gene:LdHU3.33.4070(CDS-product:Concanavalin_A-lik e_lectin/glucanases_superfamily_putative)
Source: RNAcentral
CCUCCACUGGCUCACAUGCUUCAUCACUGCUACCGUCACCACCUCCCCCCCCCCUACUCCUCCUCAUCCCCUUUUGUUUCGUUCUCGAGGUUGCCGGCACGCACAAAUGUAUAUUCACAGCCAAACAAAAAAAAGAGAAAAACGUUCUGAUCCACAUCUAUGUGCACGAACAGCAAACGACAAUCCAACCACUCCAGCUAGUAUUGUUAUCAUAUAUAUUUAUUUAUGAGCAGGCUCCCCCUCUCCCUCUCUCUCUCGCUUUCUAUAUUGUGAAUGUUGCGCCUCAUCUCACCGCGACAAAGGCUUAUACCCGUGUAUGUGUGUGUGUUUGCACCUAGGUCGACGCUUCUCUCUCGCGCUAACACGAAACGCUGCUCUGCCCCUUCAUCGCCUUCCCUACCGUUUACCAACACAGCGCUAGGCGUGUACGAUCAGUGCUGUGCCUGUUUGUGUGCGUGUGUUUCUUUCUUCUUGUCGCUCUUGGCAGUUCUUGCUGCUGGCCCCUGCGGAAAGGGUUGCCCACGUCGCAUGGAGAAGGGCGAGCGACAGGCGUAGCGCUCAUUGCUGAGUUUUAUAGCGCCCUCGCCCCUUGAUUUCCGACUUUUCUUCCGGUGUUUUGGGUAACUGUGUGUGUGUGUGUGUGUCCGUCGGCGUUGAGGUUCUUGUAGCCGUCAGAGGCGUGACGUUGAAAGGAGCGUACUGAGACGGCGACGAGCCCCCGCUAUCCAUGUGUGGCGGCGCUAUCCUGCUUGCGUAAGUCUGUUUUCUCGUCUCCGGCUUCUUGACAGGCUUUGCUCUGUUUUCGCGUGCGUGUUGGUGUGCGAAACACUUCUUGUAAUUCGGCUUUCCGUCAGCGUACUUGUCACCACUACCCCUCCGCCUUCCUUUCUAGCCCUCUCUCGCUCCGCGACUGUGUGUCUCCUUUCUUCCGCUCUACCGAACGGUAUAGACGUUCGUAUUGGCUCGCUGCUUCUCCAGUCCAACCAGAGGUGGUACUUGAGUGUCUGUGGGCUAAUGUGCAGCGGUGCGGGCUUCACCUCUCGCCCCUUCCACUCCCUCCCUCUUUUCUCUGCAGUCGUGCUCCUCUUGUGUGGCGGUGUGCACUUCAUCCCACUUUGCGUCGACGUUCACGAAGUUUUGGUUUGUCUUUUUUUCCCUCCGAUCGUACUUGCCGUCGCCCUCUCUUGUGACCCAGCGCCCCUCUCUCUCCCUUCGUGUGUGCGUGCAUGCGAAUUCGCGUUUUCUUUCUGCUGUUCCUAUCUCGUUGUGCUGUCUCUCUCUCUCUCGUUGCAUUGCUGGCCGCUGCCUCGCGUCGCUCGGUUUCGACGCCGCCGCCCCACCUCCCCCUUCUUCUCUCUGUCGCCACGUUCGCGGCGACCAACGUGGUGGCAUCUUUUUUCUUUCUUUUUCCGCUGUUGUCUGUACUGUUGUGGUGAUUUCGCUUUAGUUUGUUGUUUCCGCUCUGUGUCGUUUUGUUCUGUUUUUGUUUGGCCCUUCACUGCUGAGCGCAAUAGGCCGACACACGCGUGUGUCCACUCGCGGUCUGCCACCGCUUCUCUCCUCCUCGUCUGCUCGUGUGUGUAGGGGGGAGGGAGGGAGGGAGGAAGGGUCCUCUCCGCGGUUCGUACCACAGCUGUCAAAUUCCACAUACCCUACGGCACGCAUCUUUUUUUUGUCGCAUCAUUAUUUGAGGGGGGCGGACGAAAGCGUCGCUUCAGUCAACCUGACGACUCACCACCACCACCCCAGCCACACAGCCGCCACACAGCGCAGCAAUUGUGGUCAUCCCUCAUUCGGAGUAUCACUCGGACAGCUGUGUUUAUGUGUGUGUGUGUGUGUGUGUGUGCGGGCAGAGCUAUAGUCACGCUAAAAGCGUUCACGUACAGUCUGGCACAAGGAUCGAGGAAGAGAUCGUCCGCGGCACCGAACGGACGAGCGAAGAGGCAGAGCGAAAGAAAGAGGAGGAGGAGGGGGAGGGCCACACAAGACGUAAAAGAAACAGAAAGCGCGCGUGCGUUCAAGCAGGGCUUCUCGUUCUUUCUCUGCUCUGUCCGCUUUUUACAUCACCCAGCCCAUCCUUCUCCUAUCGUCGUUUUUCUUUGCAGCUUACCAUGCAGUCCCUCACGGAGCGUGACUUCGGCCUUGUGGAGAAGCUGUUCAAUGUUAUCCGCACUCUGCUCGAGUACGACAAGGUGCACAGGCGCCAUGAGCGAUCUGCAGCCGCUAUGCCGGCCGCCUCUAGUGACUCUGCAAUUGCAACGAUGAUGGCCCCCUCAGCCGUGCUCCGCGAGCACCAAAACCAACAAGGAGCUGGCGGCGCUGCCGCACCGCUGCCGGCAGCCAGUGCCGUCGGCGCCAGCACUGGCAUGUUAGAGAGGCGAAUGUGGACAGAGCUCGCGUUUCUAAUGAGUCGUGUCGUCAUUUCACAGAAGCUGUUUCUCAUGUCGCACGUCACAAGCGACCCAGGCCUGAUGUUGACGGAGCUGGCGCGCAUGCUUCUGGCCUUCUUGCAUGAAAGCUGCGCCGCCGUCGCAGAGAGCGGGAAGGCGGCCAGGAUGCGCCACGUCGCCCUGCUCGCACAGGAUCGCCUGAUCUUCCUUCUCCGAGUCUUCUGCUCUCUCAAGUACUGCACUGCUAUGCUUGGCGACACGCUCGACUGCGACAAUGCCGGCGCGGCGCUGAAGGUGUACGACGCGAUCUGCGACCAGGUCGUCUCUGGCCAACAUUUAGCCUGGAUGUCGCAGAUCUAUGUUUGGUUCUGUGACGAGGCAGCGCGGCUAGCCCGCACCGGAGGUGCGAUCCCCAGCGCCUAUGUUCACGCCACUCACGACGCACUGCGUUGCAUCUUAGGCUGCUGCACUGAUCACGAGGGCUGUGCAAAGGCGUUUCUUUACUCGGAGCCGGUGGCAUGCGUCGCGCACAUGUUCUACGGACUCAAGCUGCGCAUCUCAGUAGGUGAUCUUCUACGGCCGUAUGAGGACGAGCACCCCAUCGUGGAGGACGCCAAAGGCACUGCCGCUGGCGCUUCUGCACGGCAGGCAAGUGCUACAAUCACAAUCAGCAAUAGCAGCAGCGACGGCAACUCUCUCGGAGUUACCGCCCGUGAUGAGCUGGAACGAACCGUGAUGCCGGCGGGCCCGAUCCCACAGCGGCCGCCUGGCGCAGGCCAUCUCAAAACACGCUACUUCACCGCACUCACGGCUUCGUUUACACGGCAGCAGCAGCAGCAGCAGAUGCCGAGAGUGAGCACAAGCGACUCUGCAAGCAGCGCCACUGUCGCCUCGCUGGUGUGUCCCACUAACUCUUCUACCGCAGCUAGCAUCGUGAGCACGUCGUGGGCGUUUGAUCUACCAGAGCUGUCGCGGCCACAGCUAAAGACGCUCCUGCUGGGUGGGCGUGAGAACGCCUUUGAUUCGCUUCUCUUCGCCGCCCUUGACAUCGUCAUCGAGGUUAUGCGCGUGACACGGGACUACGGGCACUGGAUGGUGCUCUCCACCGUCAGCAAUCUGCUGCUUCUCAGCAAGAAAAGCAUCGAGGUCCGCGAUGCGGCGGCGGCAUUAACGUUGGGGUCCAGCUCUGCGAGCGCCUCGGAGGCGUCGCCACCGCUGUCGCGGGUAGUGGCAAUGUAUGAAAACAUCGUGGUGCUAUUCCAGCUGCUGUUCUCACUGAUGGAAGGGACUGGCUUUGAAAAGCGGGCGCGAUCCGCGUUGAACGCCGCUUCCGCGCCUGCGACUGCAAUUCACAGCGGGACUGAGAAAGAGGCAAAAAAAGGGAACGAGAAGGGCCCUCCACCGCCCCCAGGCUCAUCCUUGCUGCGCGGCGGACCGUCGCCGUCCACGCAGCCCUGCGAAGCACGCAUCUCUACCACAGCUACGGGUGAGAUGGGCCAGCCUCCGGCCACUGCGACGGUGGAGAACAGCGGCGAGGUCGACGCAGUGGACACUGCGCAGGCGCGGGAGUACAUAGCACAACAGAUAGUGCACAUGGUUCUGCAGACUGACGUGCAGGCGGUGUUCGCGGCGACGACGCGUGUGCUGGAAUGCGACCGGACGCUUUUUCGUGUAUUGCACUCCUUCUGUAUGCUUGACGCGCGAUCAGCUGAGAAAGCAAUGCCCGGAAAAAGGCGCCGCGACCGCAGCUCUGGCGCUGCGGCGACUGGUGCUAAUCGAAGGCGCAAUCUCAGCGCACCCAAGGCGGCGGACACGACCGCGCUCUACCGAGGCAGCAGCGCUGACAACAUGGGGAACGCACUCCACAACCCACUCGUAUCGCCGACUGGCGCAGCAGUGACAGGUGGCCGCAUCUGCGAGGGUGGGAGUGUGUGUGAGCCAGUGUUCGACGCCGGCUACAGAUUCUUCGUCACCUCGAACUUUGGAGACCUGCGCACCAUCGCAAACGAUGUGGGAUGCAGCAGAACUCUUGAUGGCGGCCUGGCUGAGAACUCCGACAGCCGUAGCUCCUCUCGCAUCGGUAUGGGAACCUUCAGCGUCCGCGGAAGCGGGAUGGGCGACUCCGGCACCAUCGCCCCAUUCUGUGCGGAGCCGCUUCUCGGCAGCGUCUUCUCGACCCCGCAGCGGCACGGCCAGCGACUCACGAAUCUGCAGCGCCAUCGGCGGAGCGAAGACAGCGGCGGCAGCAAGAAAACAGUGGCCGGUGUCGGCGGGAGCUUUGCCAAAGCCCUCUUGAAGUCCUUCUUUGGAAAUCGAACUGCAGGCAGCGGCGCUGUCGCCCUCAAACGCGGCGUCGCGCAUGAAGGCAGCGACGACAACGCGGAGCGGGGCUCGUGGAGCGGCUCGUCGAGGUCCUCCUCCGGCUCCUCGUGCGUCGAGAGCAAAGAGAGCGGCGGUGGCAGCCGCAGCGACAGCGGCGCCAGCGACGACAGCGAUCUUCUCAGCACUGCGAGGGAGCUGCUCCACGGCAGUGUCGCUGGCUCACUACUCCCGACGCGCAGCUUUGGCGUGAGUGGCAGCCACUCUGCAGCAUGGCAACGUGACAACGACAGCCGCCGUGCACUGCAAGGCGGCACCGAACAUCGUCAUCACCGACGCAAGCGUAGAACGCAGCCAGCAUACUCGGCGUGGCGUGACGUGCCGUCGUACACGGCUCUUGCGAGAGAACUCGUUCGCAUUUUCAACCUCGUGCUGGCAGACGCCGAGUUGAGUGUAGACGUCCGUCUCGGUGCCGGACUGCUCCUCCCAAGCAUUGCACUGCGUGACAUCCACGUUUUUCGCCUCUACGAGGGUCGCGUACUCAUUCGCAGCUACUUGAACCUGCUCCUGCACGAGCUGCAUUACAACAUCAAGCUGCGCGGUGUGUCGGCGACUGCGGCGGCAGAUCGCGAAGGCCUGCCGUGCGCAUACGUUGACGGCGUGCAGGAGCAGCCGCAGAGCGUGUCAGACAUCGCUGAGACGACCGCGUCGCCGCCACUGCAGCGUGCGCAGAUGAGUAGCAGCAGCAGCAGCAUGAUGGGCGGCCGUGCGCACCUGACGCAGCGGGAGCUCAUCGCCUUUGCUCCGAAGGUUAUCAAGACGCUUGAGCAGGCCUUCAAAGUGCUCGGUGUAAUACCGCUGACGAGCGACGUGGCCUCGCUAACGGAGCUGCCGCUCUACUUUUACUGCGCCGACGGCGUUGCCCCGCUCGGCGUCGCCCUCGAGUGCUCCUUCACACGCGUUGUUGUCCUGUGGCUCAUCGGCCUUGUUGGCGCGCAGUGUGACGAAGACAUCGACCGGCACGCAAUGGAGGUGCUGCUGCACAUCAUGAGCCGCGCUGUGGCCCGGGGAUCGCUACCGAAGGACAGCAGCACGACACUCAUGGUAACUCCCUUCGGUGCCGCCUCGGUGGUUCAAAGCAGCAACGCCGCUGGCGUCGCAGUGCCGGGCGGCCCGACGGUGGCCGCAACACGACUCUCUGCGGAGUGGGCUAAUGCUCGCAGUAAUGCACGGCUUGCCGCGGACGACAGCGCCGCUGGAGUGAUACCCUCGUCAUUUGCGGCGCCGUCGACCACGAACAGCACGCGCUUCGCAGCGGCAGCAACGGAGUCGGGAGUGUCGACAGCCCCAGCAAGGUCUAUGCGACGUGCCGGCUCACAGCUGCAGAACAGCGGCAUCGGUCUCGACGCCGCCGAGACGGACCUGUACGGUUGCCCUUUCAGCAAGUCCUUCUUGGGCUCAACCGAGUUCGGUGGUACCACGACCGCAUUAAGCAUCGAGGGCGGCUUGGGGGACUGCGGCAGCACCGUCGAGGCGCUCAGCUCUGUGUUUCGAGUGCUGCUCGGCCGCUCGCAAGACUUGCUUUCCCCUGCCGGGCUGGCCACAGUGCUCUCCCUCUUCACGAGUCACGACAGCAACCUCUCGCGACUCGGCCGCGAGUGCAUGAUACGCUCCCUGGAGAUUCCAUCGGUGUACCCGUUGUACGCUGACGUGAUUCUGGACAGCGAUACCUUCCUACUCACACAGACGCUUUCAAUGCUAUCGACGUACUUGACCUCGGCAGCGCUGACGCCGGUAACUCGGCGAGAGAGGCGGCUGUGGAUGCAGCGCUGCGGCUGUGUCGAUGCGGUCAUACGCGUACUCGUGCGCGUGCUUGACUCACCUCAGUCGACGAACUUUAUGAAGGUGAUACCGCACCUCUUUCAGUUUCUCUCUGCUUUCGAGUCGGGAGACUGUAAGCCGGCACAGCUGUCGAGCACGAACUUCAUCGCGAGCGUCGCGGAGCGGCUGGAGAAGUUGGAGGGCAUGGAGUACUUCAUCAUCGUCACCCAGGCGGUGCUGGAUGCCUCCAUGGGCACCUACGGCAGUGUCGAUGACGGCUACGCGAGCACAGGCGGCCCCGGAGCACACUACACAGAGGUGCAGGUCAUUGGCAGCUUCCGCGUCGCCCUCUACAACUGUGCGGCCGAAAAGCCCAUCUUCCUGGAGUUGCUUCCGUCGCUUCUGACCUUUGCCAAGGGCCACAGCGACAAGCUCUUCACAAACCUUGCCGAGGUCCUCCUCCGCAUUCUGGAGUGUACGAGCAUUGUUCGCUCCGAGCGGCUUGCCGACUUCGCUCUUGAUCAUGGGCUCUCUCAAAUGCUUCCCUACCUGGAGCUGUCGGGACGCCACGUGGAGGAGCGACUGCCCUUCACCGGCACCGCAGCGGACCUGCAUCGAUUCUGGCAACCAAUCUUGCUACGCGCGCCGCGCCGCAGCAGGCUCCGUUUCACGUCGCACGGCGGCGUGCAGGUAAACGUGGGGUUGUGGCCGGACACGGGAUUCACCAUUUCAGCCUGGUUCAAGUUUGACCGGCUGUACCUCACAAUGCCGUUGUUCGAGUUUCAUGGCGUCCUCAGCGAUGGCAGCGGCGCAGUGGCGCCGCUGCGCGGCUCGAGCAUGACCGCCUCCCUCUUUGUUUUUGGUGGGGACAGCAUGCAGCUGACCAUCAACGAUGGACGGCGCGUCACGAUCAACGAGAACCAGGCGCUGCAGAACUUCGGCCCGCAGACGUGGGUGAACGUCUGUGCCGUCCUGCGCACGACGCACGUCUUGGAUGUCUACGUCAGCGGUUUCAAGGCAGGCACGACAGCGUUCCCAUACUUCGCCGCAGGCGCGGAGGUGCGCGUGAACGUCGGCUGCACGGAUGACGUGACCCACUACGUCACGUCGCUGGGCACUGACGCUUCGCCGCUCUUUUCGAUGGGCGACAUUGCGCUCUGGGCGCAGUCACUGAGCCGAUCGCAGGUGGAAGCGGAGCUCGCGAGCGGUGAUGGCACUCAGGGCGCGGCAAUGAGUGGUCGAUGCCCGGGCGCUUUUCCUGCCAAGAUAUUGAAGGAGGGCAUCCCUCGAGAAAUCACGCUGCUUCGCCACAUGGGCGUUGGCGGCGGCGGCCCACUGCCCGGCUCCGUCGGCAGCACGCUCAAUCUAAGCGUCGGUGGGCUAGGAACGCUGAUGAACCCGAAGUCGCAGUCCACCGGCCCCAGCGGCGUGGCUGGACUCUCGCCUGAAACGGUCAACAGCAUCACCGCAGGUGUGAGUAGCGACUUCGAGGACGACAAGGUCGCUGGCUCCGGUGGCGCGUGGUCGGCCUCUGCCGCGCGCAUGGCCCGGUUUGUGCCAUUCGAGAACGAGGACGACAUGCUGCGGAAUGUGCUGGCACACCCAACCGGCUUCCCGGUAAUCGCGAAGCUCGUUGGCCGCUACGCGACCCCGCCGAAAACGUGGGUGGACUACCCGUUACUGUGGGCGACCCGCGGCGGGAUUGUGCGUAUGUUGGACUGGAUGCACCUUGUCACAUCCUCGGCGCAGCUGGAGGGCCUCCUGAAACUCAUUCUAGAGUGCGUGCGGCGCACCACGCUCGCGGUCACGCUCGACCCACGCACGUACGUGCUCUUGGCCCACAUCCUGACGAAUGACGUUGCCCGCUACAUGACGAAAACCGCAUGUGACCAGCUCCUCGAGCUCGCUUCCGCGCACAUCAACAUCUUCGACGAAGAGCAUCGUGUGGUCAUCAACCGGCUUGUCUUUGAGCACAUCCUGAGCGACGUCGGCCUCUACGCUGCGCUGCGGCUAGACGCGGCGCUGCACCUUUUGCAGCGUGUGCGGCGCCUCUUUCACACGUCGCAGUGUCGCUACGCGAAGCACAACGCGCGCUUUGUGUCGCCGUAUCGCUUCAUCGAUCGGCUACUGCACAGCCUCAUCGGGGUGUCCGCGCGAACAUCGUUGCUGCUGCGCCGCGCCGUGGUCCACGUAGCCCAACAAGUUGUUGCGGCAUGUGACAUGGAGGAUGGGCUGGUGCAGAUAUUUAUCUCCCUCAUCGCCUUGCUGACGCCGGAGGAGAUGACGGUGAGAAGUCGGCGCAACACGCAGGUAAAGGUCGAGCUGCCGGCAAUGUGGUCCCUUACUCGCGGCACAGAGAUUCCGCUGCGCACGGCAAAUCACUUGACUACGCUGCUGCUGUCGAGCUUGGUGGAGUGCUCCUCGCAAAGCCCCUGCGUCUCGGCGUUGUCGCGCACGAUCGACCUGCCGUGGUACGCGACGUGUACGUCGCGCUUUGCCGACCCGGCCGCGGUGGUCUACGCGACGCGCAUCUUCUUCGAGGCCGUCCAGCACAACCCGGCGCUGCAGGAGGAGGUCGCACAGCAUCAGUCCGCUGUCGUGGAAGUGCUGACGGAGCACGCGGUGCACGAAGACCUCAUUCUGCUGCUGCUCGCGCUCACAGUGGGUGCCACUCGCCACAUCGACGUCCUUUCUAGCAAGCACUCACUGCGGCAGCAGCUGGACAGUCUGCUGAGCACCUUCAGCCCUGAACCAAACGCGCUCGUUGCACCUAUUUUUGUGCAACUCCUCGUUAUUCACCUUCACCGUAUUGUGCAGUCGCCGUGGCGGCAUCUAAUGAAGGCACAAGCGGUGCUGCAGGACGCGCAGAGGCUCUCGUACCGCGUGCGGCGCUACUUUAGCCUGGUGCGCGUGUGUAGUCGGCUCAUGAUCCUCAUCAGGGUACGCCGAUACCGCGCACUCCUGAACGGCAACCGCUUCCCUGAAGCCGGCGCCUACUCCGUCGAAACACCGACUCUCAGCCCUGCUCACCACCCGCAGUGGCGGAGUAGUGGAGCCAUGAGCAGCAGCAGCCAGAACGUGAGCUUCGCGUGCAACAGCGGAGCGGGGGUCACCACUGGCGUCGCCGGCGCUGGAGGACUGGCAAACGGGUCCUUCGUCUCCGGCUGCCACAGUCGCGCGCCGCCAGAUCCCUUGUCGACCAGUCCGGUCAGUGUUGGCGCCACGAUCGGCGUGUGCAGUGGCGAGGACGAUUGUGCGGCGACUAGUGUAGCGUUACCAACGCCUCGGUCGCAGUCGCUACGUGACGCGCGCGAGUUUGGGUGCAGCAACACUGGUGGUUGUGGCAGUGGCGACUGCAGAGAGGAGACUAAUCUGCGGCUGGAUCGAACACCCUUCGACGAUAUUGUAGGCCUUCCCCGUCCUGUGAUGCUGCCUACCCCCGUGCUCAAUAUCCGCGGCGAUGACCACAGCAGCAGCAGCGCCGGUGGCUCUGGCGACGCUUCCCAGUGGAAACCCCCGGUGCUACUGCCAGAAAUGUGGGCCGGUCUUCCACGUUCGCUGCCCCCUACGACAGCAGGGAUGUCGGCACCUUCGGCAUCGAAGGCGUCAGCAACGGCAGCCGCUCACGGGCUUACCGCCGCAGCAUCGUCGUCGACGAGCGCAGUGGCCGGAAGCGGCGCCGAUGAUGUUCCUGGGCGAACGUGCCAGCUCCCCGCCGCAGACGUCGUAUCCCCGGUGAGUGUGUACCCGAUGCAGCAACACCUACGCUUAGCGGCACGUGGCGCCGACAACUCCAGUUGUGGCGAUGGCGCGGCGGCCGCCGUGAAAGUAGUCAGCGCUCAUUUGAAGGAGAGGCCUGCAUUACGCGUGCACUCGCGCAAGCACCGGCGCGCUUUUUCAGUGCUUCACGUUUCUGUGUUGCUCUGGCUGCCACUGCAGGUGAAGCGGUGUCGAUGGAUGUCCAAACCUCACUCACUUCCGUACGAGGCGGACUUGAGCCGUCGUCACGCCGGGACGCUGUUCUGCAUCCGCAUGUUGCACCAUUUUGCGUCCAUGUCGAACUACUUUUAUCUGCUCGUGAAUUCACCGAUGCAGACGGCGGCGCUUAGCUCGCUGGUGGCGUACAUCUCGCGCGCCAUGCUGCUGGAGCAGCUUGACAUGUGGGAUCAGAUGGUCCGCUCGAUGGUGGUUGCGCCAGCGCGAGAGCCUGCGGUGGUGACGGCGACGGCGGCGGCAGCGGCUGAAGCUACGGCGACAACGGCCGCAGACGAGCCUCAGCCGCCGCCGCCGAAGCAGCAGCAGCAGGAGCAGGAGAAGGAGACACCCGUGCCACCGGCUGCGAGGCAACCAGCGGUCGACGGCAUCGAGUCUGCGGAAGACACGGACGGGGAUUGGGAGGGGGUGGAGGCGGUGCCGGGUGACUACACGGGCUCAGCUGUGCUCGAUGCAGCACGGCGCGUGUCGAGCACUGGCCCGGCAAUGGCCAAUGCGACAAAGCCGAUGGCGCUUUAUCACAGCCCGAGCAGCAACAGCAGCGCGGAUGCCGGCAGCGUCGGCCGAGGCCGUGCACAAAAAAGCGAUGAGCUUGAGCUAGCACCCGCACUGCCGCUGUCAAGCCUGCCAGAGAGAGUGCUGCAACGCCUUACCCGCCCCAGCUCCAUGACGUUCCGCAGUGCAGGAUCGUCAUCGGCGCAGCUGGACAAGAUGACGGUAUUGGAGUCACCGCAUCCCAGCUUAACGCUCCGCAGCGAGGAGCUGGACGACGCGGACGUGGAGAGCGCCCCAGCCCAGCGCCGGUGUCGCGCUACCGUCGAGGAUGGCGACGCGAGCAGUGUUACGAACGAUUCCUUUGACGUCGUGGGUCUGCCGCUCGUCACGUCGACUCAUGAGCAGCCGAAGCACCACAAGGAGCUGCAGCUGCCGUCCCAGUCACUGCAGCGGCGCGGGAGGGCGUUGCCGCAGCACACAUACACGGAAACCCAGGCUGAUGAGAUCGGCAGUAGCGCCACCGCGGGAUCUGCAGCAAGCGCCAGAGGGAUAACACCGACAGCGGCGCCAACGGCAACUGCUGCGGCAGUGGGGCCGGAUGCUUCAAACACGGCCUCGGUGGUGAAACCAGACGCGACUGGCAACUGUGACGACGAUGAUGACACCUCCUCUGUGUCGUCUGCGGCAGCCUCGUUGUCUAGCCACAGCUCCACGCUGUCGUCUAGCUUGGCUCCGACGUCGGCCUCGUCGACGCUGCCCUCCACUGCCUCGGACGCGAAGAAGGCGGUCUCCCCCCCGCUCGUGUCUUUCUCGAAUCUGCCGGGCGUGCCUGCCCCCCUGCGCGGUCACGGCCUCUCCGAUGUGUACGCCAUGAGCAUCGCAAGUAUCAUCGAGUCUGUGGGUGAAGUGGUGCGCCGCGACGCUGUUAGCAUCCUUCGCGCCUUGAUCCGGUCUUCCCUCGACACGCUGCCAAUGCCGAACUGGAUCGGCGGCCCCACCUACGGCUCGUGCGGCGGGCUUCUCUUUCAGCUCCUCUUUAUCGUCUCUGCCAAGGCAGCUGCUGCUGGCGACUCGGCGACAACACUCGUGCGCUACUUUUUGCUGUGCGUCGGCAAUGCGGUCAAGGAGCAGAGAGACCGGGAUCUCAUGCAGGCCCCAAACCACGAUCAGGCACUUUCAUCGUUGAAGGGGGAUGUCUCCGCCAAGGCACCGAUGACCGGGCUCGGCGGAUCGCCGCUUGGCGCAUUAACGGCGGGCAGGCAUGCACCGAGCAGCAAUGCAUCGCCGCUGCUUCUGGGGCGCCGGACCUCGACUUUCUCAGAAGCUUCCGGGUCGACCACCGCUGCCGGCGCAGGGGCGGCGAUGCCUGGCAACGCCGGGGGGCUUUCCGCCAACGUGCCUUUAGCAUCUGCCGCCGUCUUCGUGGCAGGCGUGCCGCCAUCUACGGUCUCCUCCUUCAUGGCCGGACGCUCUCUUCCCAUCAGCGCUGUUGGUAUUGGAGGCAGUGACGAUGGAGGUGGGUGUUCUUCACAGCACGGUGGCGCACCUUUGUCACCGACGGUGCCGGCGCAGACGCACGUUUCGACGAACUCAGCUGCGUCGCCGGCGCGGCACCAUGCACCACUGCCGCAGAGCUUCCACGUCGCUAUGAGUGCGGGGCCUGGCAACGCGCAGCAUCAAAGUAGAAGCAGCAGCGCGACCACGGCUACCGGUGCCUACUCAGACGUGUUUCUGUUCAACGUAAGCCAUUUCACAGACUUGAUUGUGGACAUGCUCGCUAUCAAUGUGCUGGAUCUCCCGAUGACGACGCACUUCUUCCUGACCCUGCUCGUGCUGUGCCAGGGGUGGCCAAACCGGUACGUGGAUCAGCUCAGCUGGCAGGUGAUGCGGGCGUGCAUCGCGGUUUUGAAUCGGCCAUCAACGCAGGACGCCAGCGUCAGCCUUAUCGAGAGCGUCUACACGCUGUCGACCCUGGUGCUGCGUCGCGGGUGGAAGCACAAGGGGGUCUUGGAGUCGCUGCUGCGGGUGCUGUACCGCGUCUUUGUGUCGCUCCCACCAGCAUGGAUGCCGGACGCCGACGCGCGCCACCGCAAGCGUCUCAUUACGCUCAUCUUUCGCCACCUUGUGCAAACCUACGCCGGCACGAAGGAGCUGGAGAAGGCGCUGACGGUACGCACGCUGACGCAGCGCCUGUCUCUCUACGACGACUUCCGCAUGGUCUUCUCUCUGAGCAACGAGGACGAGUGUUGUGCGACCUUUGAGCAGUACUGCAUCGACCAGUUCUCCUCCAUCGACACACUCAUGUCGAGCCGCCUGAAAGCCAAGGCAGACCUUGCCUUCAAAGCCAGCAUCAAGACACGCAGCGAGUACAUCAAGCGCAUCAAGACUUUCAACGGCCAGUACAGGCAGGCCAUGGAGGUGACGGAGCGCUAUCGGCGCGCUGCGCUGCGUGUGGCUUACACGUCCCGCUUCUCCUCCUUUGUGUCCACGACGCCGCACGUAGACUCUUCGCAGUUGCAUUGGCUGCUUUCCUCCACUUGCGCGCUGCCCGAGAACCACACGCUGUCGCACGCGACGCAGUGGCGCAAGUUGGUGACAACGAGUGGGACGGCGGCCGACAGCAGUGCGGUUGCCGGGACGGCCACCAGCCGAAUCAACGCCAGUGACGGUGCGGAGCACACGCUUUACCACUUCAUGGAUCCGCAGAUGAACUAUGGAGCGCUGAAGGGUGUGCGAUGGGGCGGAAGGCGCGCUUCGCAGACGCCCAAAGCAAAGGCGGCAGCGAAAGCGGCGACGGCAUGUGGCACACCCGGCCACAUCGGCGGUAGCGACGCCAGCAGAAUUAAUGUAGCGGAGGAGACGGCUGAGGGCUCGAUGAGCGCUCAUAGCGCGUUGACUCGGAUCAAGAUGGCUGGCAAGGGAGCGGGAGCGGAAGUAGCAACGGCAACGGAAGAGCAUCCGCCGAAGAACGACUUGGUUCAUGCAGCGCAAUGCGAGGAGCUCGUCCAGCACAUCGCAGUGCUGGUGCCGCCCCUCAGCACCCACUGUCGCCCGUACAUCGGCGAUGAGGCCUUCCCUGCGGCGCUGAAGGAACUACCGAUCCCGCUCACACCGUCCGCGAUAACGCUGCUGCGCUACUUGGUGGCACCGCACGAGACGGUGCGCUUUCUCAGUAAUGGCUUCCGCAUCAACGGUAUCCACACCACUCCAUGUCUCAUCCUGCUUACGAAUGUGACCCUGAAGGUGAUUGGCUUUUCACGCGUGACGGAGGCCGGAGACAUCAUCCUGUGCGAGAACGAAGUCGACGACGACGAUGCGCACAGCCGCGGCGCGGCUAGCGAGUCGAGCAUCAACACCAACAGCACUCUUCGCCACCAGCAUGAUGUCGGCAGCCUUUUCGAUGACAACAAGGGGUCCCUGGCCAAGUCGACGCGCCGGAAUCCAUUCAGCGUGGCGUCGAUGACAAGGCAACUGCAGAAGCUGUUUUCUGACAAGUCGGCGAAGCGCCGUCAACAGCAAGACGGCACACGCGUUGCACAGGCGGUGCGGCAGGUGAUGGGCUGCAACUACCAGAACAUCUACUGGACCUACCUGGUCAGCUCUAUCCGCGCGGUGCGCUCGCUGCACUACAUGCACCUCGACACUGCUGUGCAACUGCAGCUCUACUAUGACAACGGCCCAAUGCUGUCGGUGGUGGACGCGACGCAGUCAAUGAACCCGUCUGCGAGGAAGGAGUUUAUCAAGGUGCUGAAAGACGUCGUGGGUACCCAGCAGUGCACCUUCAUGGACGAAAGCCAGCGAGCGGCGAGCAUGAGGGCGCACCUGGUUCGGUGGGCGACGGGGUCGCUUUCGAACUACGAGUACCUUCGCUUCCUGAACGAGGCGGCGGGGCGGACGAACCGCGACCUGAACCAGUACCCUGUCUUUCCGUGGGUGCUGGCCGACUACACGAGCGCCACGCUCGACUUGGAGGCUGCCUCGAGCUUUCGCGACUUUGCAUACCCGAUGGGGGCGCAGACGGAGACACGGCGCGCCACUGUCGCGCGUCUCUUCGAGAACACACACGAGUUGUGCGACGCGGUCACCGGCAAGUCCUACCCGUUCCACCACGGUACUCACUACUCCACCAGCGGUGGCGUGCUCUACUUCCUUAUACGGGUGCAGCCCUUCACGACCUAUGCGCGCCUUUUCCAAGGCGGCGACUUUGACCUCGCUAUGCGGCUGUUCGACUCCGUCGCCGCGUCGUUCACGUCGUGUGUGACAGGGCCGGCGGACUGCAAGGAGCUCAUCCCGGAAUUUUACGUAAACGGCGGAUUCCUGGCCAAUGCAGAUCACCUCAACCUUGGCACCAAGUCAGACGGCCAGGCAGUCGGUGAUGUGCGACUCCCUCCGUGGUCAAAGAACUCACGCCAGGUCUUCACCGCCGUCAUGCGCUACGCGCUGGAGUGCCCCUACGUUGUCGCGCAUCUGCACCAGUGGAUCGACCUCGUCUUCGGUGUGCGUCGGCGUGGCCCGCUCGCGCUGGAGCGGUACAACGUGUUUCAGCGCAUGACGUAUGGCGAGGAGGUGGUGCAGGCGCUGAAAAACGCCGAGACGCCCCACGACUGCGAUGUCAUUAUUGCCGAGGUGGACAACUUCGGUCAGACACCGCUGCAGCUCUUCCAGGAGCGUCACCCCUCCCAUCAAGAGCUGGCACCUGUUGUGAAGGCUGAGACAGCGGACGGCAGCUUCAUGGGCGUUGGCGGCGGCGUUAUGGCAUCUUCAUACAGCCACGGCAGCGGCGGUGGCGGCUCAGCGCCGGCGUGGUCGACCGUAAAUAGCGUCAGCACCGUGGCGCUUGGCGGCCUGUACACCUCGGCCACGGCAGCGGCCGCAUGCGCCGCGGCGACGGCAGGGGCGGGAAGCCAGGUCGGGGUCACCUCCAGUAAUCUCCUCUCCACCGGCUCCUUCGCCAGUGGGCAGACAUACACGCAGGCGUUCUGCCGCGAGGCGCCGAAGGUGGUUUGGAUGCUGAUUCAUGCAAUGGACGAGACCCAGACGUGGUUUGUGCUGCGAGACCCGCCAGGCAGUCUGCUGCAGCACCCACCACCGUCGGCGCUGAAGGACAUGUUCGGCUUUAGCAGCGAAGCCGUGCUACACUUCAGCGUGCUGCGCACCUCCAAGAAGCUCGCGUGCGCGUAUGCCCAGCUUGUGCCCGUGGCGGACACGGACUACUACCUGUGUUGGCAUGAGCAUGAGGCGCAGCUCAUGCGCUACACUACCGGCCAGGCUGCCUUUCACUCCGCCAUCUCUUUUCGUCCGCGAGAUGAGAGCGGCUCCUUGAUCAGUGCUGUCGCCGUUGGCCCGCGUGAGUCUGUCUUGCUUGUUGCCACCAGCAGCGGCGCGGUGUACUGCCUCUUUCCCGACGACACCGGCGAUGGCGCGCUCCACGUGCGCGGGACGCUGUGCUACCACCGUUCACCCGUUACAAAGAUCGCGCUAGACUCGAGGAGGCAUCGCGCCGUCACCAUCACUGACUCUGCCGGCGAUGACGAGCCCAUUCUCUGGCGCGUGCAGCGAAGCGGGUGCUGCUUUGUGUGUCGCCUCCAAGUCGAGCAGCUGCUACCGACGCCAGCACGCCCCUUGAUGUCGCCGACUAGGGAGACGACGGCCGACGCUGCCGAGGCGCGCACCGUCGUGGACGUCGCGAUCGACAGGGUCUCGGGCAACAUGGCACUCGUAACGGCCCGCUCGCUGCUCCUCUUCGACAACAACGGAGAACCGUUUGGCGCGGGCACGUUGCCGUCACCAACGUCCCUCCACCCCGCGGGCACUGCCACGCUCGAAGACGAUAACGGCGACGUUGGCGUGGUGGUCAGCCGUCCUGUUCUCUGCGUGGCCGACAUCACGGCUGUCACCUUCUAUCAAACAAGUGAGUGGGCUGGUGGCAUGGGAGUGCUCCUUACCGGGCACAGGGACGGCAGCCUCUCCGCAUGGCGCACGACGCGGCUGCCGCCGCACUCGGUCGCCCCUGGUAAGAUAGCCAUGGUUGAGUUCCACACCCGGCUUUUCAGCUGCGAAGCGGCGCCGACGGCAGCGGCCACUGGGGCUGGCGUUGCGGGACCGCAGGAUGCGGCGGUGGCGGCUGCCGGUGCCGGGGGCCGUGGCAGUGUAUUCAUGGGCGGCGCGGCGCCCCUCAGCAGCAGCGGCACCAGUGCGGGUGCUCUCGGUACGCCAGCGAUCCCUGCUGGUGCUGGCGCAAGGAGCUGUUCGGUGACGGCGCUGCAUCAAGAAAACGUGGACGUGCCGACCUUCCUGGUCGGCUACGCCAACGGAACUGUGCGGCAGCUUGUGUUUGAGGAUCCCGCUCUAUCCUAUGUGGGCGUUAGCGGCGGUGUCGGUGGCGCUGCAGGCGGAAGCAGCGGCGGCAGCGGGGGCGCUGGGGAUGACCGCAACCAGCGUCGCUGAUGCACAAGAGGGUGCAUGUCCACCCGGCAGCUCGCCGGGGCGAGGGCUUUUAGGGCUGAGAAGAGGCGCACACGGAAUCGCAAAUCGUCAAACCUGCGAACCCGAAAACGGAAGACAUCAGCAGCGCAAGAGGCGUUUGUUGUGGAGGCUCUGUGGCAAACUCGUAUGCUAAGGGGAGGAGGUGCGUGGAUGCUGGACCACACGCGUGUGCGUGUGUCGCUUUCCUUUAGGGGCUGAAACACAGCCCUUUUGGUCCG